RNAcentral lists this long non-coding RNA (1472 nucleotides) under Felis catus (domestic cat). RNAcentral describes it as "lncRNA (ENSFCAG00000040922.2)". Lineage: Eukaryota; Metazoa; Chordata; Mammalia; Carnivora; Felidae. The record is from RNAcentral.
CAUGUGAUUCCAGAGAUGACAGGCUGCACUACAGACCCCCUCACCAACAGGAAGCAGCUCUCAGAGAAAGUAUCCAUGGAUUAAAAAGAUUUGUGGAGAGAAACCAGCGGUGUGCCUAAUCUGUACAGUCACAGAUGAAUAACACCACAGCAUCAUCUCAUACACAUCGCCUGCAAGAGAGUGGGUCUUGAGAGUUGAAUCAAUGCUGAACACUUUAUUUAGAUUGCAAAUUAUCUCGCUACCUCAGCAGACUGCGAAAUCAACUGGAAGCUUUUCAGCAUUUAAUUAAGGAGGACAAAAGAAAGUCCCAAUAAUAACAGUGUGAAACUGCCACAGAAAAAUUAUGAAUACAAAGGGAGAAAUCAUCAGUAAUUAACCCCAAUCUGAGACUACAGAGGAGACUCCAAAACAAGAGGGGAGCACAUGAAAAUAAUACUAAAUUUACUUGUCUUGAAUAGAUAUAACAGAUUUUUCCCUAAGAUGGCCAACAGGACUGAAAGGGAAAUUCCAGUCCUUGGCUGAAGACUCCCCUCCGGGGUUCUUCUUCCCACCCCGCUUGCUGCGCGUGCCAAAUUACUACUAAUACAGAAUGCGGAAGUAACAUACUAGAAAUUGUUCCUUCUGCUUACGUGGGGGCUCAGACUUCGGGAGAGUGAUCUCCUCUGAACCCACCUGUGUGAAAUAAACCUCCUGCCUUCCAAGAUCUCCAAGUGCUGCCUGGUUCUUCUGCCGGGUGAUCCAGAUCAGAUUCCAUAACAUUUGGUUCCCCAGAAACCCAACUGCACUGGCCCAUUGUUGCCACUGGUUUGGGAAAACAGCGAGGCAGUGAUGCAAUGAGGAGUCACAACAGAGAAGGCGCACCCUGUCUGAUAUUUGGCAGUCUCUGGCUUGGUCGCCUCAGGCCAGCCCCACUCCGCCAUUCCCACUGGACUCAAGGAGACUUGGCAGGUGAGGACCGGGACCCAACAUCGGAUACCGGGAAGAUGGCUCAUUCCCAGCAGACAGAAGGGGAGAGCUUCAGGAGAUAAAUAUUAAAUCAACCCUACAAACACGUGCUGCUUAUUCAAGCUGAUGUCUGUUCCUCUGUCUCACAUUCACACAGUGUAUGAACAGAGGCACCAAUCCCAGGACACUAAAGGCAUUGAUCAUACCGAGCCAUCAAUCUCUUGCACUUUAUUCCCAAUCAUUGUACAAACAUUGUUGUACUUCUGCUUCACGGAUUCUCAAAUACAUAUUUGAUGACACUACUCCUUGAGCAUUGAGAAAACAGUCUCUGAUUCUUAAGGCACUUUGAUUGUAUUAUUCACUUAUCCACUUAUCCAUCCUUCAGUCACUGUCUGCUUUACUGAUAAUGUGCUUGACAUUGGGGAUUUAAAGUAAAACAUAGUCUCUGACUCCAAAGUGUUUUCAGGAUAGUGGAGGUGACAGACAUGUUAAGAUAUAAGAGGAAUAAAUUAUCAUAGGGUCUGUCA